RNAcentral lists this ribosomal RNA (465 nucleotides) under Vreelandella stevensii. RNAcentral describes it as "partial 16S ribosomal RNA". It matches the Rfam family "Bacterial small subunit ribosomal RNA", at positions 338 to 795 of the family's 1533-position model. The record is from RNAcentral. Lineage: Bacteria; Pseudomonadati; Pseudomonadota; Gammaproteobacteria; Oceanospirillales; Halomonadaceae.
CCUACGGGGGGCAGCAGUGGGGAAUAUUGGACAAUGGGGGGAACCCUGAUCCAGCCAUGCCGCGGGUGUGAAGAAGGCCCUCGGGUUGUAAAGCACUUUCAGUGAGGAAGAACGCCUGGUGGUUAAUACCCAUCAGGAAAGACAUCACUCACAGAAGAAGCACCGGCUAACUCCGUGCCAGCAGCCGCGGUAAUACGGAGGGUGCGAGCGUUAAUCGGAAUUACUGGGCGUAAAGCGCGCGUAGGUGGCUUGAUAAGCCGGUUGUGAAAGCCCCGGGCUCAACCUGGGAACGGCAUCCGGAACUGUCAAGCUAGAGUGCAGGAGAGGAAGGUAGAAUUCCCGGUGUAGCGGUGAAAUGCGUAGAGAUCGGGAGGAAUACCAGUGGCGAAGGCGGCCUUCUGGACUGACACUGACACUGAGGUGCGAAAGCGUGGGUAGCAAACAGGAUUAGAUACCCCUGUAGUC